Molecule: ribosomal RNA, 118 nt
Filed under: Escherichia coli AI27
Lineage: Bacteria; Pseudomonadati; Pseudomonadota; Gammaproteobacteria; Enterobacterales; Enterobacteriaceae
Source: RNAcentral
GCCUGGCGGCCGUAGCGCGGUGGUCCCACCUGACCCCAUGCCGAACUCAGAAGUGAAACGCCGUAGCGCCGAUGGUAGUGUGGGGUCUCCCCAUGCGAGAGUAGGGAACUGCCAGACA